GUGUUGUAUGCAAGGAGAGAAGGUUAGCACUCCCCUUGACAAGGAUGGAAGAGGCGCAUACAGUUAAGGCACUGCCACCUACUUCGUGGCAUCUAACCACUGUUUUUU
This is a small nuclear RNA of Delphinapterus leucas (beluga whale), 108 nucleotides long. The record is from Ensembl. Lineage: Eukaryota; Metazoa; Chordata; Mammalia; Artiodactyla; Monodontidae.